GAAAUGCUUUUAUCUGAGAGGGUGAGUUGUUAAGCGUAGCGAACUAAAGUAGCGAAGGUGGAUAAUCAAACUGUCGAGAAAAGCUUCUAGUGAGAUACAACCAACCCGUACCGCAAACCGACACAGGUAGUCGAGUGGAGAACACUCAGGUGAUCGAGAGAACUCUCGUUAAGGAACUCGGCAAAAUGACCCCGUAACUUCGGGAGAAGGGGUGCUGAUUUAACGAUCAGCCGCAGUGAAUAGGCCCAGGCGACUGUUUAUCAAAAACACAGGUCUCUGCCAAAUCGAAAGAUGACGUAUAGGGGCUGACGCCUGCCCGGUGCUGGAAGGUUAAGAGGAGAGGUAAAGAGCAAUCUGAAGCUUUGAAUUGAAGCCCCAGUAAACGGCGGCCGUAACUAUAACGGUCCUAAGGUAGCGAAAUUCCUUGUCGGGUAAGUUCCGACCCGCACGAAAGGCGUAACGAUCUGGGCACUGUCUCAACGAGAGACUCGGUGAAAUUAUAGUACCUGUGAAGAUGCAGGUUACCCGCGACAGGACGGAAAGACCCCAUGGAGCUUUACUGUAACUUGAUAUUGAGUGUUUGUGUGGCAUGUACAGGAUAGGUAGGAGCU
This 611-nucleotide ribosomal RNA is filed under the name Tuanshanicoccus lijuaniae. Its description in RNAcentral is "partial 23S ribosomal RNA". It matches the Rfam family "Bacterial large subunit ribosomal RNA", at positions 1537 to 2155 of the family's 2925-position model. Lineage: Bacteria; Bacillati; Bacillota; Bacilli; Lactobacillales; Aerococcaceae. The record is from RNAcentral.